This 1214-nucleotide long non-coding RNA is filed under the name Mus pahari (shrew mouse). RNAcentral's name for it is "lncRNA (MGP_PahariEiJ_G0005177.1)". Lineage: Eukaryota; Metazoa; Chordata; Mammalia; Rodentia; Muridae. The record is from RNAcentral.
ACACUUCCCAGAGUCGAUGUAGGAUGGAGGCAGGAGGCGCCGCUGAGCAAAAUUUUGUGGAGUUGGGUUCAGGGUCCUGACUCCUGGCCUCCAGUGGCGACAGGACAGCCGACAGCCGCUCUGAGACCUGACCUGGACAAGCACGGCCUCCAGGUCUUGCCACCACUGCUGAUUCGUGUUUGCUAUCCCGAUCUACCAAAGUGGACUGUUGGUAUAUUCUUGAAUCUAGCUGCCACUGCUGAUCAGUAAACUGAACUGUUGAUUUCCUGAUCAUGCAGAUGGGAUUUGCUCCAAAGAACCAUUUCUAAACAGGACCAGUCAAGGCCUAUUUGAGUUCCAGGCAGAAAUGUCUGACACCACCCCACAGACCAAGAUGGCCCACCUCUCACUGACUGAUCAAGGACUGGGAAGGCAGAGGAGGCAGAAUCAUCAACAGAAUGAGAUCUCUUGAAAGGACAUUCAUGACCUAGUUAGUGGCAGACACCCAGGCCACGUGACCUCCACGGGCUUCUCUUUCCUCUAUUCUUAUGACUGUUUUUUUUUUUUUUAUUCUUAAUUUUAACUCUGCUCAGCCUCUUCCCAACCCCCACCCCCACCCCCAAUGUCCCCCACGGGAGAUUCUUAGCUAGGGAGACUUAUGACAAACACAACACAAUCAUAGGAACCCAGGACUGCUCACUUGAAGGAUGAGAUUCCUCUACACACCAAUUCUAUCCCCAGCUCUUUCCUCUUCUUUCCUUACAACACAGGUGAAGGCCUCCAUAUAUGGAGGUGGCAGAUAUUGGAGACACCAAAUUGAAUCCCCCCAGUCAUGGUGGCACCAUGUUCGCCAACCUUAACACUCAUUUUUAGCUUGCCAUCAGUGAUCCCUGGGACGAUGGAUGACAAAUGGGAAUUAUAGGUAAGCUCUACCCUAACAGUUAUGCCAUACUCCAUAGCCAACUUACACAUCUCUUGCCAGCUUGUCCCUGCCUCCAAAUUGGUCUUUACGAACAUUAACAUUAUUCAACAGAAGGCUCAAACUCAAGAAGAGAUCCAAGCCACCCUCUGCUGGCUACAAUAGAAUAUAAUAGAAUUCCUAGAAUUCCUCCUCAUGCAAAUAAGGCAUCCCCAGCACCCUGGCCCAGCCAAUGGUGUACAUUCAUCCUGAAAACCCCUACUCACCCCCAUGCAAAUAGCUUGUGUCUUUCCUAAUAAAUUGAACCAGUUCUCCC